RNAcentral lists this ribosomal RNA (888 nucleotides) under uncultured marine archaeon. RNAcentral's name for it is "SSU rRNA". It matches the Rfam family "Archaeal small subunit ribosomal RNA", at positions 455 to 1347 of the family's 1478-position model. The record is from RNAcentral.
GUGCCAGCAGCCGCGGUAAUACCGGCGGCUCUUGUGGUCGUCGCUUUUAUUGGGCCUAAAACGUCCGUAGCCGGUUUGGUAAAUGUGUGGGUAAAUCCCCCGGCUUAACUGGUUGAAUUCUUUCGAGACUGCCAAACUAGGGACCGGGAGAGGUGUGGGGUACUCUAGGGGUGGGGGUAAAAUCCUGUCUUCCUUAAAGAACCCCCAGUUGCGAAGGCGCCACACUAGAACUGAUCCGACGGUCAGGGACGAAGCCUAGGGGCACGAACCGGAUUAGAUACCCGGGUAGUCCUAGGUGUAAACGCUGUGAACUUGGUGUCGGGAGUUAGCAAUGGGCCCCCGGUGCCGGAGUGAAGAUGUUAAGUUCCCUGCCUGGGGAGUAUGGUCGCAAGGCUGAAACUUAAAGGAAUUUGCGGGGGAGCACUGCAACGGGAGGAGCGUGCGGUUUAAUUGGAUUCAACGCCGGAAAACUCUCAUGGCCGACUGUUAGAUGAAGACCAUGCGUAGUGAGCUUGUCGGAUUUUCAUCCAGGUGGUGCAUGGCCGUCGUCAGUUCGAGUGUAGAGCGUUCUGUUAAGUCAGAUAACGAACGACACCCUCUUCUCUAUUUGCUACGCGACUCUCCAGAGGCGGCGCACUAUAGAGAGGGCGCUGGUGUUAAACCAAGGGAAAGCGAGGGCAAAGACAGUCUUGUAUGCUCUGAAAAAAGGGGGCUACCCGCGCUUUACAAAGAACGGGUCAAAGGCAAGCCAGGGCGAGAGGCCGAGCUUACCCAAAACCCUUUCAUAGUUCGGAUUGGGGGCUGCAACUCGCCCUCGUGAAGUUGGAAUCCGUAGUAAUCGGGUAUCAAUAUACCGCGGAGAAUAUGCCCCGGUUCCUUGCACACACC